RNAcentral lists this transfer RNA (77 nucleotides) under Alphaproteobacteria bacterium. RNAcentral's name for it is "tRNA-His". It matches the Rfam family "tRNA". From Rfam's summary of the family: Transfer RNA (tRNA) molecules are approximately 80 nucleotides in length. Their secondary structure includes four short double-helical elements and three loops (D, anti-codon, and T loops). Further hydrogen bonds mediate the characteristic L-shaped molecular structure. tRNAs have two regions of fundamental functional importance: the anti-codon, which is responsible for specific mRNA codon recognition, and the 3' end, to which the tRNAs corresponding amino acid is attached (by aminoacyl-tRNA synthetases). tRNAs cope with the degeneracy of the genetic code in two manners: having more than one tRNA (with a specific anti-codon) for a particular amino acid; and 'wobble' base-pairing, i.e. permitting non-standard base-pairing at the 3rd anti-codon position. The record is from RNAcentral. Lineage: Bacteria; Pseudomonadati; Pseudomonadota; Alphaproteobacteria.
GCGGGCUUAGCUCAGUUGGUUAGAGCGCGAGUUUGUGGAGCUUGAGGUCGCCGGUUCGAUCCCGGUAGCCCGCCCCA